Molecule: transfer RNA, 70 nt
Filed under: Dipodomys ordii (Ord's kangaroo rat)
Lineage: Eukaryota; Metazoa; Chordata; Mammalia; Rodentia; Heteromyidae
Rfam family: tRNA
About the family: Transfer RNA (tRNA) molecules are approximately 80 nucleotides in length. Their secondary structure includes four short double-helical elements and three loops (D, anti-codon, and T loops).
Source: Rfam by way of RNAcentral
GGGAAUGUGGCUUAGUGGUAGAGUGCUUGCCUAGCAUGCAUGAAUCCCUGGGUUCGAUUCCUCAGUACUA